AGCCUGAACGCUGGCGGCGUGGCUAAGACAUGCAAGUCGAACGGGCCUAGCAAUAGGUCAGUGGCGGACGGGUGAGUAAAGUAUCGCUAACGUACCGCGGAGCCUGGGAUAGCCGGUCGAAAGGCCGGGUAAUACCAGAUGAGACCACGGGUGGGCAUCCACCAGUGCUCAAAGCCGCAAGGCACUCUGUGAGCGGGCGAUAUCGUAUCAGCUAGUUGGUGAGGUAACGGCUUACCAAGGCGACGACGCGUAGCUGGUCUGAGAGGACGGCCAGCCACAUUGGGACUGAGACACUGCCCAGACUCCUACGGGGGGCUGCAGUAACGAAUCUUCCGCAAUGCACGAAAGUGUGACGGAGCGACGCCGCGUGGAGGACGAAGUCCUUCGGGAUGUAAACUCCUGUCAGGGGUUACCAAGUUCUGAGGAGCCCCAGAGGAAGGCACGGCUAACUCUGUGCCAGCAGCCGCGGU
Molecule: ribosomal RNA, 470 nt
Filed under: uncultured bacterium
Lineage: Bacteria
Description: SSU rRNA
Rfam family: Bacterial small subunit ribosomal RNA
Source: RNAcentral